GAGGAAGGAUAGAAAUCAAUAAGUGCUGCUAAUACUUAUGCCCCGAGGUUAAAAUCCUCGGCUUCUUUA
Molecule: transfer RNA, 69 nt
Filed under: Campostoma anomalum (central stoneroller)
Lineage: Eukaryota; Metazoa; Chordata; Actinopteri; Cypriniformes; Leuciscidae
Description: tRNA-Ser
Source: RNAcentral